Molecule: long non-coding RNA, 615 nt
Organism: Solenopsis invicta (red fire ant)
Lineage: Eukaryota; Metazoa; Arthropoda; Insecta; Hymenoptera; Formicidae
Exons: 2
Source: RefSeq, a predicted model, not a curated record
AUUCGAGAUAUUUUAUUGGUUCCGCCAUAUUUUGUCGGCACCAAUAGGAUGGAUAAGCUGUCCAGACUCUUACUUUAGGAACUCUAGUGAGUUCUCGAGAAAGUUCUUGAAAAAUUAAAUAAAAAAAUAGUAAUUUGUAAAUUUUUAUUUCAAGAUUUAGUUUUUGGGAUAUAAGGGUUUAAAACUAAUCUAUCAGAGAUUACGUUUAGACGAUCAUCUGUCAUACGUUCACUAAUACUAUUAUACUAAAUGAUAUAUGUUCAGGUACUCUGAAGCAAGCUGCAUUGGAUCAAUAGGACAUGACGUUAAAACGCGAACCUUUUGUCCAUCUUGGGUCAUGAAUUCGAUUGCUUGUUCACCAUCCAUAAGUCCAGCCUGCUCAAUACUUCCUAGCUGAUUAAUUGUCGCGACUGCCGUAGCAUCGGUAUUUUCAUCCUAUAAAAAACAGUGUGUUAAAAUAUUUCAGUAACAAAGUAUUUUAUUAUCAAAUAUAAAAAUGAUAUAUUUUUAUGAUCAGUGCAAUUAAUCGCACUUUUAUAAUUCCUGAUUUUCAUCUGUAUCACAUAGAAUUUACUCCUUUUUUCCUCCAUCUGUUGCUGAACAUCUUAAAAAAAA